CUUGGAAAUGCCAUAUGCAGGCAGCAUCAAGGGCCAUCCAUUCUCUAUCAAUGUUUCUUGCUUCACAUCUUGCAAGAAUUCUUGCAGUCUCUCUUGAAUCCUGGCUUCAAGCUGAUGGUCCAAGCCAGAAUGAGCCAGAUAUUAGGCACCACUGCAUCAGGCCGCUCGUUUGGACCUGACUCAUCAGGUGGCUGCAUCAAUAUUUAAGGCUCUUAAUCCUUCAUCAUCAACCUCCAUUCCAGAAGCAGCAGCAUUGUUCACCUGUGGGCAUGCAGU
Long non-coding RNA from Chenopodium quinoa (quinoa), 276 nucleotides. RefSeq lists it as uncharacterized. The record is from RefSeq and is a predicted model, not a curated record. NCBI's taxonomy places the organism in Eukaryota, Viridiplantae, Streptophyta, Magnoliopsida, Caryophyllales, Amaranthaceae. The transcript is spliced from 3 exons.